AUUGAACGCUGGCGGCAGGCCUAACACAUGCAAGUCGAGCGAGCGGCGGACGGGUGAGUAAUGUAUGGGGAUCUGCCUGAUGGCGGGGGAUAACUACUGGAAACGGUAGCUACUACCGCAUACCAUCAGAUGAACCCAUAUGGGAUUAGCUAGUAGGGGAGGUAACGGCUUACCUAGGCGACGAUCCCUAGCUGGUCUGAGAGGAUGAUCAGCCACAGUGGGAUUGAGAAACGGCCCAGACUCCAACGGGAGGCAGCAGGGGGGAAUAUUGAACAUGGGGCGCAAGCCUGAUGCAGCCAUGCCGCGUGUAUGAAGAAGGCCUUCGGGUUGUAAAGUAAUUUCAGUCGGGAGGCGUUACCGACAGAAGAAGCACCGGCUAACUCCGUGCCAGCAGCCGCGGUAUAC
Molecule: ribosomal RNA, 405 nt
Filed under: uncultured bacterium
Lineage: Bacteria
Description: partial 16S ribosomal RNA
Rfam family: Bacterial small subunit ribosomal RNA
Source: RNAcentral